Molecule: ribosomal RNA, 465 nt
Filed under: Vreelandella stevensii
Lineage: Bacteria; Pseudomonadati; Pseudomonadota; Gammaproteobacteria; Oceanospirillales; Halomonadaceae
Description: partial 16S ribosomal RNA
Rfam family: Bacterial small subunit ribosomal RNA
Source: RNAcentral
CCUACGGGUGGCUGCAGUGGGGAAUAUUGGACAAUGGGGGCAACCCUGAUCCAGCCAUGCCGCGUGUGUGAAGAAGGCCCUCGGGUUGUAAAGCACUUUCAGUGAGGAAGAACGCCUGGUGGUUAAUACCCAUCAGGAAAGACAUCACUCACAGAAGAAGCACCGGCUAACUCCGUGCUAGCAGCCGCGGUAAUACGGAGGGUGCGAGCGUUAAUCGGAAUUACUGGGCGUAAAGCGCGCGUAGGUGGCUUGAUAAGCCGGUUGUGAAAGCCCCGGGCUCAACCUGGGAACGGCAUCCGGAACUGUCAAGCUAGAGUGCAGGAGAGGAAGGUAGAAUUCCCGGUGUAGCGGUGAAAUGCGUAGAGAUCGGGAGGAAUACCAGUGGCGAAGGCGGCCUUCUGGACUGACACUGACACUGAGGUGCGAAAGCGUGGGUAGCAAACAGGAUUAGAUACCCCUGUAGUC